Molecule: ribosomal RNA, 449 nt
Filed under: uncultured bacterium
Lineage: Bacteria
Description: bacterial SSU rRNA
Rfam family: Bacterial small subunit ribosomal RNA
Source: RNAcentral
GGCCAGACUCCUACGGGAGGCAGCAGUGGGGAAUAUUGCACAAUGGGGGAAACCCUGAUGCAGCGACGCCGCGUGAGUGAAGAAGUAUUUCGGUAUGUAAAGCUCUAUCAGCAGGGAAGAAAAUGACGGUACCUGACUAAGGAGCCCCGGCUAACUACGUGCCAGCAGCCGCGGUAAUACGUAGGGGGCAAGCGUUAUCCGGAUUUACUGGGUGUAAAGGGAGCGUAGACGGCAUGGCAAGUCAGAUGUGAAAGCCCGGGGCUCAACCCCGGGACUGCAUUUGAAACUGUCAGGCUGGAGUGCAGGAGAGGUAAGUGGAAUUCCUAGUGUAGCGGUGAAAUGCGUAGAUAUUAGGAGGAACACCAGUGGCGAAGGCGGCUUACUGGACUGUAACUGACGUUGAGGCUCGAAAGCGUGGGGAGCAAACAGGAUUAGAUACCCCAGUAUGG